CAUACCAAUCCCUCAGAAUUCAUCGGAACCAUCGAAUCCAUAUCAAUCUGUGUCCGAUGUCAUGAAUGGAUAGGAUGGGUGGCUGCGGUGGUGGGUUGAUGAGUCGUGUAAGCGGCAUGACAACGUCUCCGCCCUUCCCUACUUUUCCAGCAUGUGCGAAACACGUGCAUAUCUCUAGUAUAAAUGCGCAAUCUCCGACUUUCUACCGUGCCCGUCAGAUAUCUCCAACCGCAAAGAGCAUUGAUCGACUCAAUAUUCCGCUUCUUUCUCUGUCGCCCCACAGAGGCUUUCCCCAGACCACCGAUAGCCACCCCAUCCUCCCAUUUCCUCCCUGAGAUCCCUACCAACGCUCGCUCCCCCAGUCUCCCUGUCCGAAAUCUCCAGUCCCAAGAGCAUUGAUCGUCUCAAGAUAGCGCUUCUUCCUCCCUCGUCCGUCAGAGGCUUUCCGCAGAUCACCGAUAGCCACCUCGACUGGGGCGGGGCAACGGGGUUUCAAGAUUCCACUAAGGUGGUGGAGAGGAACCCGAAUGAGGUUGAUCCUUUCAGGUCCUAAGAGACCAUAGGAGGUUUCGGGGAGGUUGAUUUUUGCGAACGAAUAUGUAAAGGCAAAAGCAAAUGAAUUUGAAGGUGAUCCUUGCAAGUUUUAUGCUGAGACAAGAUUCAUGUUGACAAGUUUCCUCCAGUCACUGUGGGUCUUGUCGCAAUACAAGUGGCCUGACAAACUAAAGGUUGAUUUUGUGUUUGGUGAGAUCAGACGAGCAAUAUAACUCCUCUUGUCGCAAUACAAGUGGCCUGACUCUAGAUUUUGUGUAUGGUGAGAACAGAUAAGCAAUAAAACACUUCUUUGCUCAAGUACAUAAUAAAUAGUGCCUAAUCUUACUAGUUGUUUCCGUAUUGUAAAGGUUCAUCCUCAAUUGGAACUUGGGUCAGUUUGCAAUUUUUUUUGUUUUCUCAGCUGCAGCUGGGAAAAAGCCGUGUCAGUAUCCUGGUUUUUGCUCUGGUAAUGACCCAGCGUUUUAGUUCUUCUACUUGUGUGGUUCUCUCUUGUUCCGAUCAUGAAAGAAUGGCCAUCGAGUUCUAGAACUAGUUGUGCUCAAGAUAAACAGAACUGCUGGAGUUGAUAUAUAUCUUUCCCACAUCAUGAGUUGAUAUUUAUGUAUGUCAAGGUAGCUCAGACACGUUUCCAAUCUGGGUCACAAUUUCAGUCCUGCUGCUUGGGGAAACACAUUGCUUUCUUAAUCAGAUGGUGGAAACAGAUUUUAAACUCGAUGAUUUCGUUCUACCAUUUGUCAUGCCUGCACCAGACCAUUUGGUGAUAGGAAUAUAUCUUCGAAUCUGAGUUGAAUAUAGAGUGAAUUCACACUGCA
This is a long non-coding RNA of Musa acuminata AAA Group (dessert banana), 1367 nucleotides long. RefSeq lists it as uncharacterized. The record is from RefSeq and is a predicted model, not a curated record. NCBI's taxonomy places the organism in Eukaryota, Viridiplantae, Streptophyta, Magnoliopsida, Zingiberales, Musaceae. The transcript has 6 exons.